Molecule: ribosomal RNA, 497 nt
Filed under: uncultured bacterium
Lineage: Bacteria
Description: partial 16S ribosomal RNA
Rfam family: Bacterial small subunit ribosomal RNA
Source: RNAcentral
GAUGAACGCUGGCGGCGCGCCUAAUACAUGCAAGUCGAGCGAACAGAUGAGGAGCUUGCUCCUCUGACGUUAGCGGCGGACGGGUGAGUAACACGUGGAUAACCUACCUAUAAGACUGGGAUAACUUCGGGAAACCGGAGCUAAUACCGGAUAAUAUAUUGAACCGCAUGGUUCAAUAGUGAAAGACGGUUUUGCUGUCACUUAUAGAUGGAUCCGCGCCGCAUUAGCUAGUUGGUAAGGUAACGGCUUACCAAGGCAACGAUGCGUAGCCGACCUGAGAGGGUGAUCGGCCACACUGGAACUGAGACACGGUCCAGACUCCUACGGGAGGCAGCAGUAGGGAAUCUUCCGCAAUGGGCGAAAGCCUGACGGAGCAACGCCACGUGAGUGAUGAAGGUCUUCGGAUCGUAAAACUCUGUUAUUAGGGAAGAACAAAUGUGUAAGUAACUAUGCACGUCUUGACGGUACCUAAUCAGAAAGCCACGGCUAACUACGUG